GGUUAAGCGACUAAGCGUACACGGUGGAUGCCCUGGCAGUCAGAGGCGAUGAAGGACGUGCUAAUCUGCGAUAAGCGUCGGUGAGGUGAUAUGAACCGUUAUAACCGGCGAUUUCCGAAUGGGGAAACCCAGUGUGUUUCGACACACUAUCAUUAACUGAAUCCAUAGGUUAAUGAGGCGAACCGGGGGAACUGAAACAUCUAAGUACCCCGAGGAAAAGAAAUCAACCGAGAUUCCCCCAGUAGCGGCGAGCGAACGGGGAGGAGCCCAGAGCCUGAAUCAGUGUGUGUGUUAGUGGAAGCGUCUGGAAAGGCGCGCGAUACAGGGUGACAGCCCCGUACACAAAAAUGCACAUAUUGUGAGCUCGAUGAGUAGGGCGGGACACGUGGUAUCCUGUCUGAAUAUGGGGGGACCAUCCUCCAAGGCUAAAUACUCCUGACUGACCGAUAGUGAACCAGUACCGUGAGGGAAAGGCGAAAAGAACCCCGGCGAGGGGAGUGAAAAAGAACCUGAAACCGUGUACGUACAAGCAGUGGGAGCCUCUUAAUGGGGUGACUGCGUACCUUUUGUAUAAUGGGUCAGCGACUUAUAUUCUGUAGCAAGGUUAACCGAAUAGGGGAGCCGAAGGGAAACCGAGUCUUAACUGGGCGUUAAGUUGCAGGGUAUAGACCCGAAACCCGGUGAUCUAGCCAUGGGCAGGUUGAAGGUUGGGUAACACUAACUGGAGGACCGAACCGACUAAUGUUGAAAAAUUAGCGGAUGACUUGUGGCUGGGGGUGAAAGGCCAAUCAAACCGGGAGAUAGCUGGUUCUCCCCGAAAGCUAUUUAGGUAGCGCCUCGUGAAUUCAUCUCCGGGGGUAGAGCACUGUUUCGGCAAGGGGGUCAUCCCGACUUACCAACCCGAUGCAAACUGCGAAUACCGGAGAAUGUUAUCACGGGAGACACACGGCGGGUGCUAACGUCCGUCGUGAAGAGGGAAACAACCCAGACCGCCAGCUAAGGUCCCAAAGUCAUGGUUAAGUGGGAAACGAUGUGGGAAGGCCCAGACAGCCAGGAUGUUGGCUUAGAAGCAGCCAUCAUUUAAAGAAAGCGUAAUAGCUCACUGGUCGAGUCGGCCUGCGCGGAAGAUGUAACGGGGCUAAACCAUGCACCGAAGCUGCGGCAGCGACACUAUGUGUUGUUGGGUAGGGGAGCGUUCUGUAAGCCUGUGAAGGUGGCCUGUGAGGGUUGCUGGAGGUAUCAGAAGUGCGAAUGCUGACAUAAGUAACGAUAAAGCGGGUGAAAAGCCCGCUCGCCGGAAGACCAAGGGUUCCUGUCCAACGUUAAUCGGGGCAGGGUGAGUCGACCCCUAAGGCGAGGCCGAAAGGCGUAGUCGAUGGGAAACAGGUUAAUAUUCCUGUACUUGGUGUUACUGCGAAGGGGGGACGGAGAAGGCUAUGUUGGCCGGGCGACGGUUGUCCCGGUUUAAGCGUGUAGGCUGAUUUUCCAGGCAAAUCCGGAAAAUCAAGGCUGAGGCGUGAUGACGAGGCACUACGGUGCUGAAGCGACAAAUGCCCUGCUUCCAGGAAAAGCCUCUAAGCAUCAGGUAACAUCAAAUCGUACCCCAAACCGACACAGGUGGUCAGGUAGAGAAUACCAAGGCGCUUGAGAGAACUCGGGUGAAGGAACUAGGCAAAAUGGUGCCGUAACUUCGGGAGAAGGCACGCUGAUAUGUAGGUGAAGCGACUUGCUCGUGGAGCUGAAAUCAGUCGAAGAUACCAGCUGGCUGCAACUGUUUAUUAAAAACACAGCACUGUGCAAACACGAAAGUGGACGUAUACGGUGUGACGCCUGCCCGGUGCCGGAAGGUUAAUUGAUGGGGUUAGCGGCAACGCGAAGCUCUUGAUCGAAGCCCCGGUAAACGGCGGCCGUAACUAUAACGGUCCUAAGGUAGCGAAAUUCCUUGUCGGGUAAGUUCCGACCUGCACGAAUGGCGUAAUGAUGGCCAGGCUGUCUCCACCCGAGACUCAGUGAAAUUGAACUCGCUGUGAAGAUGCAGUGUACCCGCGGCAAGACGGAAAGACCCCGUGAACCUUUACUAUAGCUUGACACUGAACAUUGAGCCUUGAUGUGUAGGAUAGGUGGGAGGCUUUGAAGUGUGGACGCCAGUCUGCAUGGAGCCGACCUUGAAAUACCACCCUUUAAUGUUUGAUGUUCUAACGUGGGCCCGUAAUCCGGGUUGCGGACAGUGUCUGGUGGGUAGUUUGACUGGGGCGGUCUCCUCCUAAAGAGUAACGGAGGAGCACGAAGGUUGGCUAAUCCUGGUCGGACAUCAGGAGGUUAGUGCAAUGGCAUAAGCCAGCUUGACUGCGAGCGUGACGGCGCGAGCAGGUGCGAAAGCAGGUCAUAGUGAUCCGGUGGUUCUGAAUGGAAGGGCCAUCGCUCAACGGAUAAAAGGUACUCCGGGGAUAACAGGCUGAUACCGCCCAAGAGUUCAUAUCGACGGCGGUGUUUGGCACCUCGAUGUCGGCUCAUCACAUCCUGGGGCUGAAGUAGGUCCCAAGGGUAUGGCUGUUCGCCAUUUAAAGUGGUACGCGAGCUGGGUUUAGAACGUCGUGAGACAGUUCGGUCCCUAUCUGCCGUGGGCGCUGGAGAACUGAGGGGGGCUGCUCCUAGUACGAGAGGACCGGAGUGGACGCAUCACUGGUGUUCGGGUUGUCAUGCCAAUGGCACUGCCCGGUAGCUAAAUGCGGAAGAGAUAAGUGCUGAAAGCAUCUAAGCACGAAACUUGCCCCGAGAUGAGUUCUCCCUGACCCUUUAAGGGUCCUGAAGGAACGUUGAAGACGACGACGUUGAUAGGCCGGGUGUGUAAGCGCAGCGAUGCGUUGAGCUAACCGGUACUAAUGAACCGUGAGGCUUAACCUU
This 2904-nucleotide ribosomal RNA is filed under the name Escherichia coli. Its description in RNAcentral is "23S ribosomal RNA". It matches the Rfam family "Bacterial large subunit ribosomal RNA". Lineage: Bacteria; Pseudomonadati; Pseudomonadota; Gammaproteobacteria; Enterobacterales; Enterobacteriaceae. The record is from RNAcentral.